GACGUAGGGUGCGAGCGUUGUCCGGAUUUAUUGGGCGUAAAGAGCUCGUAGGCGGCUCGUCGCGUCGACCGUGAAAACCCGCGGCUUAACUGCGGGCUUGCGGUUGAUACGGGCGGGCUAGAGUUCGGUAGGGGAGACUGGAAUUCCUGGUGUAGCGGUGAAAUGCGCAGAUAUCAGGAGGAACACCGGUGGCGAAGGCGGGUCUCUGGGCCGAUACUGACGCUGAGGCGCGAAAGCCAGGGGAGCGAACGGG
RNAcentral lists this ribosomal RNA (253 nucleotides) under uncultured bacterium. RNAcentral describes it as "partial 16S ribosomal RNA". It matches the Rfam family "Bacterial small subunit ribosomal RNA", at positions 524 to 776 of the family's 1533-position model. The record is from RNAcentral.